RNAcentral lists this ribosomal RNA (616 nucleotides) under Parasaissetia nigra. Its description in RNAcentral is "eukaryotic LSU rRNA". The stretch from base 275 to 616 matches the Rfam family "Eukaryotic large subunit ribosomal RNA", at positions 665 to 850 of the family's 3401-position model. Lineage: Eukaryota; Metazoa; Arthropoda; Insecta; Hemiptera; Coccidae. The record is from RNAcentral.
UUUCCGCCGCCGACCCUCAACCGAGGGUGUCGGACGUCGCGACCCGUUCGCCCAGGUCGAUACUCAGGGACGCGUUUCAAGUUCGCCGGCGCGGUCGUCUCGGCGGCCGCGUCACGAUGGCGCGUUUCCGCUGUUCUCGACGCGGACGGUAGCUUUGCGCGCGGGUAAUCGACGCGGUCCUUUGUCCGGCGUCUCCGUACGUCGGACGGCGCUCGCGUCGACGCCGGUCAGCGACGAAUCUUCGGGCCUCUUUCCGACCCGUCUUGAAACACGGACCAAGGAGUCUAGCGUGCGCGCGAGUCGCGGGGUAUCCGAGUCGUCGUAGUCGUUUCGGCGGCGAACGCGACUCGUCACGAUACGAAACCCGUGUACGUACGUUGUGCGAAGGCGUAAUGAAAGUGAAAGGCGACGCUUCGCGCGUCGCCGGGGGAAGACGGUGUUCCGUGUACCACGUUUCGCGGUCAUACGUGUACCGCGGCCGGACACCCGCAUUCCCAGGGCGUCCCGCUCGUACGUCGGCCGUCGGGUCUCGGCUCGGCGGUCGGCGAACUGGGGCGCACCUACAGCGUGCACGCUGGUACCCGAAAGAUGGUGAACUAUGCCCGGCCAGGAUGAA